Molecule: small nuclear RNA, 191 nt
Filed under: Neotoma lepida (desert woodrat)
Lineage: Eukaryota; Metazoa; Chordata; Mammalia; Rodentia; Cricetidae
Description: U2 spliceosomal RNA
Rfam family: U2 spliceosomal RNA
About the family: U2 is a small nuclear RNA (snRNA) component of the spliceosome (involved in pre-mRNA splicing). Complementary binding between U2 snRNA (in an area lying towards the 5' end but 3' to hairpin I) and the branchpoint sequence (BPS) of the intron results the bulging out of an unpaired adenosine, on the BPS, which initiates a nucleophilic attack at the intronic 5' splice site, thus starting the first of two transesterification reactions that mediate splicing.
Source: Rfam by way of RNAcentral
AUUGCUUUUUGGCCUUUUGGCUAAGAUCAAGUGUAGUAUCUGUUCUUAUCAGUUUAAUAUCUGAUACGUCCUCUAUCUGAGGACAAUAUAUUAAAUGGGUUUUUGGAAUUAGGAGUUGGAAUAGGAGCUUGCUCCGUCCUCUCCACACAUCCACCUGGAAUUGCAGUACCUCCAGGAAUGGUACAACCCCU